Long non-coding RNA from Apis florea (little honeybee), 1650 nucleotides. RefSeq lists it as uncharacterized. NCBI's taxonomy places the organism in Eukaryota, Metazoa, Arthropoda, Insecta, Hymenoptera, Apidae. The record is from RefSeq and is a predicted model, not a curated record.
GAGAGAGAGAGAGAGAGAGAGAGAGAGGAGAGAGCGACGAGUACGAGAGAGAAGAUUUCAAGUCUGAAAGCGAAUCGAAGAUGCAUAUGAGAGAGAGAGAGAGAGAGAGAAUUGAUUGGACAAGGAAAUUGUAAUUCUGUGAGAAAAAUCACAAGAAGAGAAUAUACGCAAAAAAUUACGUGACGAAAGAAGAAGAAAUAGCUAAAUUAUCAAUUAAAAUAAAUGGAUCAAUAAUUGAAAUAUUCGCUAACGAUGAAAAAUCUUUUUAUUCCAACAACGAAGAAAACGAGAAACGCAACGAUCGAUACAAAUAUCUUACGAACGGGAGACUGUUUCUUCGUAUCCGGUUUACAGCGCGCGAAAAACAAACACGAGAAUAAUCGUAUCGACGUCGCGACGAGGUAUCUGGAAAAUUUACGAACGACCGUACGUACGAGGACCACGCCAUACCGAUUUCACGCUAUUUAUACUCGAAGAAUCGAAUGCAGGAUCGUGCGAAGGGAAGAAUUAAAGAUCGGUUUGCCAGACCGUGAGAUCGCGCACGGAUUCGGAUCACUGACUAUUUACGAGCAGAGGUUCUCGGUAUUCACGGCAGGAUAAGUUUCCUUGGAAUUGGAAUUGCGUCGGAUGGAGAAAAUAAAGGAACGUGGAGAUAGCGAUGGACGCGAUACAGCCAUCCUUUCGCGUUUUUCAAACAAUUCUGUACUCGAUAUUUGUUCGAACGAUGAAUUUAUACUUGUGAUAUGGUUAUCAAGAUAUUACGAUGCAGUAAAAUUGUGCAGUGGCAGAAAUCGGUAAUAUUCGAUUAGAUGUUGUUUGUUCGACGAUUCGUUGGCGGCGCAUACCCAUCACUACCUUCGCGGCUCGGCAAAACAUUUUUCGUUAAUAACUCGUUAAGAAGGGAAAAACGAAACUUUUCACGAAGGAAAAAGUUGGUUGAAAUCGUCUCAGGAAUCAUCAGUUAAGUCUUGAAGAUUUUAUAUAAAUCGAAAAGUAUGAUAAUCUUCAAAAUAGUGAUAGAAAUGUACUGCAAAUGUAUAAAUAUCAAUUUCUUUAGAGAGAUAUAUCGUUUACGAUUCUUGAUUCCUUUUGCUGGCCAGAAAAUCAUCAAUUAUAUAUCGAUAUAGCAUCCAUACAAUGGAAACAAAUAAUUUUUCGAUUUCUUUUGAUUCUUUUAUUGGUUAAAAAUCGUGGGAUAUUGCUUGAAAAACCAUCACCACUGUACAAAUUCCUUUUUUCUUGCGAUUCCAGUGUAGCGAUCGGUUUUCUUUAGCGCUUAUAACAACGUCUGCUCGAUACCUCGAAAGCUGGCGUGGAAAGGAAAAUGGACACGAGCCACCAUCCUCGAUAUUCCUCGAUAUUCUUCGAGGGUAAACCCGAUUUUAAAACGGCCAGAGAAACGUCACGUGGACGAGAAAAUCGUAUUAUCGCCGAUACAUUCUUGCUGGAAAUCGAACCUUUUAUACAGACACCUUGUACACAUCGAUUCCAUGAUAAACGGUUUCAAAAGUCUUUUGAAUGUUUUAUAUUUUAGUUUUGAAACAGGGAUCGAGCGAAAAAUUGUUGACACAUUUUUAUUUGAUCGUUAUUGUUUAUAAUGAAAUUUUUAUAAAGAGGAUUAAAGAAAUGGAUAUUACUUGUCCUAUUGGU